UUGCGGGAAUCAGAAAAUGAUUUUCGGCGCGUUUCUCGGCGAAAUCCGCCGACGAAAUGCGAGUUCGGUUCGGAAUUAUUCCGACGGUGCUUCGUGAUGGAUUGUUUAGUCACUGAGCCUUGUUGGCUGGUCACUCACGUCAUUUUGAGGGUUCGGAAAUGACGGGUGAGCGACGGUGGGUUCCGGUGUCGAAAUCGACACUUCCGGGAACCCGGAUCGGAACGAAUAGCCGACGAUAAUUG
Molecule: long non-coding RNA, 242 nt
Filed under: Ananas comosus (pineapple)
Lineage: Eukaryota; Viridiplantae; Streptophyta; Magnoliopsida; Poales; Bromeliaceae
Description: long non-coding RNA (ACOM_LNC017750)
Source: RNAcentral